AACGAACGCUGGCGGCAUGCCUAACACAUGCAAGUCGAACGAGACCUUCGGGUCUAGUGGCGCACGGGUGCGUAACGCGUGGGAACCUGCCCUUAGGUUCGGAAUAACUCCCCGAAAGGGGUGCUAAUACCGGAUAAUGUCUUCGGACCAAAGAUUUAUCGCCUUUGGAUGGGCCCGCGUUGGAUUAGCUAGUUGGUAGGGUAAAAGCCUACCAAGGCGGCGAUCCAUAGCUGGUCUGAGAGGAUGAUCAGCCACACUGGGACUGAGACACGGCCCAGACUCCUACGGGAGGCAGCAGUGGGGAAUAUUGGAAAAUGGGCGAAAGCCUGAUCCAGAAAUGCCGCGUGAGUGAUGAAGGCCUUAGGGUUGUAAAGCUCUUUUACCCGGGAUGAUAAUGACAGUACCGGGAGAAUAAGCUCCGGCUAACUCCGUG
This 433-nucleotide ribosomal RNA is filed under the name uncultured bacterium. RNAcentral's name for it is "partial 16S ribosomal RNA". It matches the Rfam family "Bacterial small subunit ribosomal RNA", at positions 29 to 507 of the family's 1533-position model. The record is from RNAcentral.